UCAAAUUCAUGAAAAUGGCGUCAUAAGGAGAAUCUCUGAGUUUCAAGCAGCUUGCAGCCAAAUGUUGAAAGUGUUCCGAACUGGCAUCUCUCCAGCAAACCAAGUUAACUGUGCCUUGCUAGGUGUGAGUUAUCAAUGUGUUCCACAUGGCCGCCUGUGGGAUUCAUGGCUGGCUUUAUAAUCUGCGGGCGGUCGCGUGAAGAUGUGACGAGAAUAUUGUUGGAGUAGGAGCGGAUCGGGACACACGGAGACGGCUAAAACAAGACAGAUGGGAUCGCAGAGACUAGUCAUUCCGAAGGCCGCAGAACAGGAAGAGUCAACAUGUAUACGCAAGACAGAAACAAAAGAAGAACAAGAAGAGAACAGAAGAAAGAAGAGAAUAUUAAUUGGCACAUUCGUGAUCUACCCUGUAGAUCCGGGCUUUUGUAGUUAAGCUCCUCAUCAGAAGCUCGUCUCUACAGGUAUCUCACGGCUGGAAGACCACGCUACUAAUGCUGUUAAAAAAAAACUGAAAAAAGAAGAUUAUGAAGAUAUUCAAGCUUAUUUCUGAUUUUGGAAAAUUUUCAUGUCGUGAGAUUCCAUAUGAAGAUUUUUCAAAAAGUUUUUAGUUUUUUUUUAAUUUAUACUUUUUUAUGUGCAUGUCUUUAUUAAAUUUGUGUCUCUCUAGCAUUCACUCAAAGAAAUUUUUGAUAUGUUUGACUGGGACGUAUAAUAAGCGUUAUGUGUGACCUGAUUAUCUGAGACCUUCUUUCAAUAAGUAAAGUGAAGUAGAUUGCUCGCGUAAAGCCAUAAUAAAUUACACACCUAAACCUUCCUCUGGAAUCACAUUAUCUAUUGAUGAAAACCAUACAAAAAUCUGCCUGGUAGUUCUUGAGAUCAGAUUGCGUACUGAUAGACAGACGCGACAGGGGACUUCUUUUUAUAAUAUGUAAGGAUAAGGAUCUGUGAGGCAUUAUGAUCUCUUCUAGUCAUAUUUCUCAUGGCUUAA
Plodia interpunctella (Indianmeal moth) is the source of this 988-nucleotide long non-coding RNA. RefSeq lists it as uncharacterized. The record is from RefSeq and is a predicted model, not a curated record. The transcript is spliced from 4 exons. Lineage: Eukaryota; Metazoa; Arthropoda; Insecta; Lepidoptera; Pyralidae.